Molecule: long non-coding RNA, 306 nt
Organism: Asparagus officinalis (garden asparagus)
Lineage: Eukaryota; Viridiplantae; Streptophyta; Magnoliopsida; Asparagales; Asparagaceae
Exons: 4
Source: RefSeq, a predicted model, not a curated record
UACACGAUUUUCUUUUUCUUAGCUUAUUACGUCUUCAAAAACUGAGUUUCUUUUCUCAGAUAAGGAUCUUAAUUACAUCUUUUGAUAAUUGAGCUUCUUUUCUGAGCAUGGCCCUUAAUUUUUGUCUUCAAUAAUUAAGAAAGAGCACUCUUGCUGGACUCUUGGCACUUGGUCAUGAUGUUCAUCCGGAUGAGUAUCACAGUUUCGUGCACGGGAGGUUGCCGUAUGAGAACAUCCGACCCGACCCAAAGUUAAGACAGCUCUUGCUCAGCACGCCACAGACCAAAAUCAUGUUCACGAAUUCGG